UUAUACUCUGUUCUCACACACUCUUCCUUCAGUGCAAUCAACAUCCUCAGAAACCUAGCUCCCCCUAAAGAUUUAUAAGCUUUCACUACCUCAAAAAUCUAUCACGGCCAAUAAUAUCAAUCUUGGACUUGCAGUGUAAGAUAUUUCCCUUUUAUUCCAAUGUUCCUCAGGUGUUUGGAUCUUCCACACCCCUUAUGCCUCCUGAUGCGUGUGUGCGCAUAAAUGGAUAACUUCCCUUGUCUGCCCGUUAUCAAGAGAGAUGACAAGUGAGUGCAAGUAUGUUCAUUCAAUACAAUGACCUGCUUACUCUCAUUCCUGAGUAAUAGCCAUGAAGCGGAUAAGUGUUUUCCAGGUCACACGAAACCAAACGAGAUGCUGGAAGGAUCUUCUGCUUUGGACAAGGACAUACAAGAAUAAGGAGGCUGCAGGACAACGUAUGAUGUCACAACUCUAUACAUUUGACCUGAAAAGGGGUCCCUUCAUAUAUCAAGUGGAGCCUUAAAGGUCUGUGAAGAACCUUCAGCAUCUGGCUCCUAAUGCUGUCAAAUAAGGUAGUAAUGGACAAAAUGUUCAACACAAACACAGCUAGAGCUAAGCAGGUAAACCACAUUGCACAAAACCCCUUGGCCAGCCACUGGCAUUGAGAUUAGAUAAUUUUCUUUAACAGAAGUCAUGUACAUAGAGAGACGUGCACUAGAAACUCCAAGCACUUUUUUAAUCCCUUCCUUCCAAGUUUCUCAGUCCUCUAUGAACUUGUUUGUUAGAGAUAAACUUCUGACUUUUGUAUUACAAGCUUUUGUAUGUCACAAUUAAUCUUUCUCCCAUGGAGAUAUACUGGGAAUGCAGAAGGACAGAUUAUCAUCUAAAUAUGGUGAGAGAUUAACCUUACACAUCAUCACACAGAGUCCUUACCCAGAGGGGGAAAGAAAAAAUAACCAGAAAUAUAGAUCAUUAUAGAGCCAAUUCCAUCAACUUGUUGAAUUUAACUGGACAAUUCUGAAUCCCCUGGUCACAUUCACUAUGCCCACAAGAACUAGCAGAGCAGCCACAACUUCCUGGAGAUCAAGUCUAGGAAUAAUGCUCACAACAGAGAUCGACCAGACGGUUGGUCUGCAUGGACUCUGAUACUGUGACUAUAGUGAUGUAUUGCACUUGGGUAAAUGAACAAAACUUUGAAGUUGC
Long non-coding RNA from Pseudopipra pipra, 1182 nucleotides. RefSeq lists it as uncharacterized. NCBI's taxonomy places the organism in Eukaryota, Metazoa, Chordata, Aves, Passeriformes, Pipridae. The record is from RefSeq and is a predicted model, not a curated record. The transcript has 3 exons.